GUGCUCACUUCAGCAGCACAUAUACUAAAAUUGGAAUAAUACAGAGAAGAUUAGUAUACCCCUGCGCAAGGAUGACAUGCAAAUUUGUGAAGUGUUUCAUAUGUGU
This is a small nuclear RNA of Otolemur garnettii (small-eared galago), 106 nucleotides long. Lineage: Eukaryota; Metazoa; Chordata; Mammalia; Primates; Galagidae. The record is from Ensembl.